CCUACGGGAGGCAGCAGUGAGGAAUAUUGGUCAAUGGGCGGGAGCCUGAACCAGCCAAGUCGCGUGAGGGAAGACGGUCCUACGGAUUGUAAACCUCUUUUGCCGGGGAGCAACGGGGUCCUUGCGAGGGCCCGAUGAGAGUACCCGGAGAAAAAGCAUCGGCUAACUCCGUGCCAGCAGCCGCGGUAAUACGGAGGAUGCGAGCGUUAUCCGGAUUUAUUGGGUUUAAAGGGUGCGUAGGCGGGCUGUUAAGUCAGCGGUCAAAUGUCCGGGCUCAACCCGGGCCUUGCAGCGCGAACUGGCGUGCUUGAGUCCGGGGAAAGCAGGCGGAAUUCGUCGUGUAGCGGUGAAAUGCUUAGAUAUGACGAAGAACCCCGAUUGCGAAGGCAGCUUGCUGCAGCGGAACUGACGCUGAUGCUCGAAAGCGCGGGUAUCGAACAGGAUUAGAUACCCCAGUAGUC
This 461-nucleotide ribosomal RNA is filed under the name uncultured bacterium. RNAcentral's name for it is "partial 16S ribosomal RNA". It matches the Rfam family "Bacterial small subunit ribosomal RNA", at positions 338 to 795 of the family's 1533-position model. The record is from RNAcentral.